RNAcentral lists this ribosomal RNA (239 nucleotides) under Vibrio sp. a5s7. RNAcentral describes it as "partial 16S ribosomal RNA". It matches the Rfam family "Bacterial small subunit ribosomal RNA", at positions 844 to 1082 of the family's 1533-position model. Lineage: Bacteria; Pseudomonadati; Pseudomonadota; Gammaproteobacteria; Vibrionales; Vibrionaceae. The record is from RNAcentral.
UUUCGGAGCUAACGCGUUAAGUAGACCGCCUGGGGAGUACGGUCGCAAGAUUAAAACUCAAAUGAAUUGACGGGGGCCCGCACAAGCGGUGGAGCAUGUGGUUUAAUUCGAUGCAACGCGAAGAACCUUACCUACUCUUGACAUCCAGAGAAGCCAGCGGAGACGCAGGUGUGCCUUCGGGAGCUCUGAGACAGGUGCUGCAUGGCUGUCGUCAGCUCGUGUCGUGAGAUGUUGGGUUA